GGUCAAGUGAAGAAGCGCAUACGGUGGAUGCCUUGGCAGUCAGAGGCGAUGAAAGACGUGGUAGCCUGCGAAAAGCUUCGGGGAGUCGGCAAACAGACUUUGAUCCGGAGAUCUCUGAAUGGGGGAACCCACCUAGGAUAACCUAGGUAUCUUGUACUGAAUCCAUAGGUGCAAGAGGCGAACCAGGGGAACUGAAACAUCUAAGUACCCUGAGGAAAAGAAAUCAACCGAGAUUCCCUUAGUAGUGGCGAGCGAACGGGGAUUAGCCCUUAAGCUUCAUUGAUUUUAGCGGAACGCUCUGGAAAGUGCGGCCAUAGUGGGUGAUAGCCCCGUACGCGAAAGGAUCUUUGAAGUGAAAUCGAGUAGGACGGAGCACGAGAAACUUUGUCUGAACAUGGGGGGACCAUCCUCCAAGGCUAAAUACUACUGACUGACCGAUAGUGAACCAGUACCGUGAGGGAAAGGCGAAAAGAACCCCGGAGAGGGGAGUGAAAUAGAACCUGAAACCGUAUGCGUACAAGCAGUGGGAGCCUACUUGUUAGGUGACUGCGUACCUUUUGUAUAAUGGGUCAGCGACUUAUAUUCAGUGGCAAGCUUAACCGUAUAGGGUAGGCGUAGCGAAAGCGAGUCUUAAUAGGGCGUUUAGUCGCUGGGUAUAGACCCGAAACCGGGCGAUCUAUCCAUGAGCAGGUUGAAGGUUAGGUAACACUGACUGGAGGACCGAACCCACUCCCGUUGAAAAGGUAGGGGAUGACUUGUGGAUCGGAGUGAAAGGCUAAUCAAGCUCGGAGAUAGCUGGUUCUCCUCGAAAGCUAUUUAGGUAGCGCCUCAUGUAUCACUCUGGGGGGUAGAGCACUGUUUCGGCUAGGGGGUCAUCCCGACUUACCAAACCGAUGCAAACUCCGAAUACCCAGAAGUGCCGAGCAUGGGAGACACACGGCGGGUGCUAACGUCCGUCGUGAAAAGGGAAACAACCCAGACCGCCAGCUAAGGUCCCAAAGUUGUGGUUAAGUGGUAAACGAUGUGGGAAGGCUUAGACAGCUAGGAGGUUGGCUUAGAAGCAGCCAUCCUUUAAAGAAAGCGUAAUAGCUCACUAGUCGAGUCGGCCUGCGCGGAAGAUGUAACGGGGCUCAAACCACACACCGAAGCUGCGGGUGUCACGUAAGUGACGCGGUAGAGGAGCGUUCUGUAAGCCUGUGAAGGUGAGUUGAGAAGCUUGCUGGAGGUAUCAGAAGUGCGAAUGCUGACAUGAGUAACGACAAUGGGUGUGAAAAACACCCACGCCGAAAGACCAAGGGUUCCUGCGCAACGUUAAUCGACGCAGGGUUAGUCGGUUCCUAAGGCGAGGCUGAAAAGCGUAGUCGAUGGGAAACAGGUUAAUAUUCCUGUACUUCUGGUUACUGCGAUGGAGGGACGGAGAAGGCUAGGCCAGCUUGGCGUUGGUUGUCCAAGUUUAAGGUGGUAGGCUGAAAUCUUAGGUAAAUCCGGGGUUUCAAGGCCGAGAGCUGAUGACGAGUCGUCUUUUAGAUGACGAAGUGGUUGAUGCCAUGCUUCCAAGAAAAGCUUCUAAGCUUCAGGUAACCAGGAACCGUACCCCAAACCGACACAGGUGGUCGGGUAGAGAAUACCAAGGCGCUUGAGAGAACUCGGGUGAAGGAACUAGG
RNAcentral lists this ribosomal RNA (1664 nucleotides) under Pseudomonas aeruginosa. RNAcentral describes it as "partial 23S ribosomal RNA". It matches the Rfam family "Bacterial large subunit ribosomal RNA", at positions 1 to 1717 of the family's 2925-position model. Lineage: Bacteria; Pseudomonadati; Pseudomonadota; Gammaproteobacteria; Pseudomonadales; Pseudomonadaceae. The record is from RNAcentral.